This is a long non-coding RNA of Erigeron canadensis, 426 nucleotides long. RefSeq lists it as uncharacterized. The transcript is spliced from 3 exons. The record is from RefSeq and is a predicted model, not a curated record. Lineage: Eukaryota; Viridiplantae; Streptophyta; Magnoliopsida; Asterales; Asteraceae.
AUUAUUCAACAUCACAACCACUUCAUUUUAAUCAUUCUAGCUUCACUCACAUCUACUCUCUAAACAUCAUGAGUGACCCUAAAUAUGCUUACCCUUACCCUGCUCAAGGCGGAUAUUAUCAAGGGCCACCAGUGAUGGCACCUCCACAAUAUGCCGCGCCACCCCCCAGAAGAGAACCCGGUUUCCUAGAAGGCUGUCUGGCUGCUCUGUGUUGCUGCUGUCUUCUGGACGAGUGUUGCUGUGACCCAACCAUUAUCUUUUACUAAAAUAUAUAUCAUCUGAUCUAUAUCAGCUUUUCGGUCACUACUUACAAGUUACUAUAUGUAGAAUUUGUAUUGUUCUUAGAAUUUCAUAAAAACAAUGUACUAUUAAUUAUCUUAUUUCUGAUGUCACUUAAUGUACUCGAAACCAACAACUCCACUACUA